GACGUGGCCGAGUGGUUAAGGCGGCAGACUGCUAAUCUGUUACUGGUAACGGUGCGCGAGUUCGAAUCUCGUCGUCGU
This 78-nucleotide transfer RNA is filed under the name Chloropicon maureeniae. It matches the Rfam family "tRNA". Rfam says of the family: Transfer RNA (tRNA) molecules are approximately 80 nucleotides in length. Their secondary structure includes four short double-helical elements and three loops (D, anti-codon, and T loops). Further hydrogen bonds mediate the characteristic L-shaped molecular structure. tRNAs have two regions of fundamental functional importance: the anti-codon, which is responsible for specific mRNA codon recognition, and the 3' end, to which the tRNAs corresponding amino acid is attached (by aminoacyl-tRNA synthetases). tRNAs cope with the degeneracy of the genetic code in two manners: having more than one tRNA (with a specific anti-codon) for a particular amino acid; and 'wobble' base-pairing, i.e. permitting non-standard base-pairing at the 3rd anti-codon position. Lineage: Eukaryota; Viridiplantae; Chlorophyta; Chloropicophyceae; Chloropicales; Chloropicaceae. The record is from RNAcentral.